Molecule: long non-coding RNA, 285 nt
Filed under: Eutrema salsugineum
Lineage: Eukaryota; Viridiplantae; Streptophyta; Magnoliopsida; Brassicales; Brassicaceae
Description: long non-coding RNA (ESAL_LNC000155)
Source: RNAcentral
UCUUCUUUCCUUUGUUUCAGGUACCACAAAGAAGAAAGACCAGAAACUAAUUCACCUCAGUUUCAACCACAGAUGCCUUAACCCAGAAGAUGAAGACGAAAGCCUGAAAAAACCCUUAACCGUGUAUCUCUGUUUCUCUUCUCCUUCUCUCAUUAAUUAUCUCUGCUCUCUCUCAAAGUCUGCAACUCCAAAAAAGUUUUAUAUAUAGCUUUGAGUAAUCAUGUGGGCCUUAUACCCUAGCCCAACAUCAGUUUCUCUUGCACACUCUUGUAAACACACGUAUGG